GGUAAAAUGGCUGAGGAUAGGUAAUAAAUUGUAAAUUUAUUAACGGAAUGGUUUAAAAUUCCUUUUACCA
This 70-nucleotide transfer RNA is filed under the name Agapanthia amurensis. Its description in RNAcentral is "tRNA-Tyr". Lineage: Eukaryota; Metazoa; Arthropoda; Insecta; Coleoptera; Cerambycidae. The record is from RNAcentral.